AGCAGCCGCGGUAAUUCCAGCUCCAAUAGCGUAUAUUAAAGUUGUUGCAGUUAAAAAGCUCGUAGUUGAAUUUCGGGAUUGGCGCAUCGGUCGUGCCUCACGGGGUAUGAACUGGUGCAGUCAAUUUCUCACCUUCUGGAGAACCGCGAUGUCCUUAAUUGGAUGCCGCGGGGAACCAGGACCUUUACUUUGAAAAAUUAGAGUGUUUAAAGCAGGCAUUUUUGCUUGAAUACAUUAGCAUGGAAUAAUAAAAUAGGACGGCAUGGUUCUAUUUUGUUGGUUUCUAGGACCACCGUAAUGAUUAAUAGGGAUAGUUGGGGGCAUUAGUAUUCAAUUGUCAGGGGUGAAAUUCUUGGAUUUAUUGAAGACUAACUACUGCGAAAGCACUUGCCAAGGAUGUUUUCAUUAAUCAAGAACGAAAGUUAGGGGAUCGAAGACGAUCAGAUACCGUCGUAGUCUUAACCAUAAACCUAUGCCGACUAGGAAUCAGACGAUGUUAAUUUUUAAUGUACUCGUUUGG
Molecule: unclassified non-coding RNA, 520 nt
Filed under: uncultured Entrophospora
Lineage: Eukaryota; Fungi; Glomeromycota; Glomeromycetes; Entrophosporales; Entrophosporaceae
Description: SSU rRNA
Rfam family: Eukaryotic small subunit ribosomal RNA
Source: RNAcentral